UGUAGUUGUUCUAUUGGUCGGGGGUGGGAUUUAAAUUCACACAUUUAAAGGGUAAACGCACGUGACUUGCUCUGGAGAGGCACAGCAGGGAGGACAGUGGUUCAACAAACCUGUCUCGGAUCCUCCUGGAUUGGAAGUUGAUAAGGAGUGGGAUGACAUUUUAAUUGUGGCGGCGACAUGAAAGCAGCACCUAAUGACACAAGCUGUAAUUAAGAUAGAAAUGAAAUAAAACAUCCGGAAACCGCAUUCCUCAGCUGAACAAGCAGGUUCCUAAGGCUAAGAAUAGGUCCUCGCUUUCAUUAAAUAUGCUUCUGCUGUGAAUUUACUGAAGAGUGUAAUUGCUUUUAAGAAUCUGAAUGUCUUUCAUUACAUGUGUAAAUCUGAUACGUUUAAUGCUUGAAACUAUACACCAUGCUGUCCCCUGCACCUAGGACACCUUUAUAGAAACAAUCCAUAGAUUUUUUCCUGCUGAAACAUAUUUAAUAAUGAAUGAUCAUGACGAUGGUCCAGCUGGACUGAAACAUAUACGA
This is a long non-coding RNA of Acipenser ruthenus (sterlet), 530 nucleotides long. RefSeq lists it as uncharacterized. NCBI's taxonomy places the organism in Eukaryota, Metazoa, Chordata, Actinopteri, Acipenseriformes, Acipenseridae. The transcript has 4 exons. The record is from RefSeq and is a predicted model, not a curated record.